This 85-nucleotide transfer RNA is filed under the name Salmo salar (Atlantic salmon). It matches the Rfam family "tRNA". From Rfam's summary of the family: Transfer RNA (tRNA) molecules are approximately 80 nucleotides in length. Their secondary structure includes four short double-helical elements and three loops (D, anti-codon, and T loops). Lineage: Eukaryota; Metazoa; Chordata; Actinopteri; Salmoniformes; Salmonidae. The record is from Rfam by way of RNAcentral.
GGUGCAGUGGCGCAGUGGUCAAAAGCACUGCAUCUGAGUGCUAGAGGCAUCACUACAGACCCUGGUUCGAUUCCAGGCUGUAUCA